Molecule: transfer RNA, 78 nt
Filed under: Prevotella sp.
Lineage: Bacteria; Pseudomonadati; Bacteroidota; Bacteroidia; Bacteroidales; Prevotellaceae
Also listed under: 1 other name
Description: tRNA-Val
Rfam family: tRNA
About the family: Transfer RNA (tRNA) molecules are approximately 80 nucleotides in length. Their secondary structure includes four short double-helical elements and three loops (D, anti-codon, and T loops). Further hydrogen bonds mediate the characteristic L-shaped molecular structure. tRNAs have two regions of fundamental functional importance: the anti-codon, which is responsible for specific mRNA codon recognition, and the 3' end, to which the tRNAs corresponding amino acid is attached (by aminoacyl-tRNA synthetases). tRNAs cope with the degeneracy of the genetic code in two manners: having more than one tRNA (with a specific anti-codon) for a particular amino acid; and 'wobble' base-pairing, i.e. permitting non-standard base-pairing at the 3rd anti-codon position.
Source: RNAcentral
GGGCGUUUAGCUCAGCUGGUUUAGAGCAUCUGCCUUACAAGCAGAGGGUCGGCGGUUCGAAUCCGUCAGCGCCCACCA